AGUGAACGCUGGCGGUAGGCCUAACACAUGCAAGUCGAACGGCAGCACAGUAAGAGCUUGCUCUUACGGGUGGCGAGUGGCGGACGGGUGAGGAAUACAUCGGAAUCUACUUUUUCGUGGGGGAUAACGUAGGGAAACUUACGCUAAUACCGCAUACGACCUACGGGUGAAAGCAGGGGAUCUUCGGACCUUGCGCGAUUGAAUGAGCCGAUGUCGGAUUAGCUAGUUGGCGGGGUAAAGGCCCACCAAGGCGACGAUCCGUAGCUGGUCUGAGAGGAUGAGCGGAAACAGUGGAAGUGAGACACGGUACAGACGCCUACGGGAGGCAGCAGUAGGGAAUGGUCCACAAGGGGCGAGAGCCUGACGGAGCAAUGCCGAGUGAGGGAAGAAGGCCUUCGGAUUGUAAAGCUGUGUUAUUAGGGAAGAACAAAUGUGUAAGUACCCAUGCACGGCGUGACGGGACCUAAACAAAAAGCCACGGCUAACUACGUG
RNAcentral lists this ribosomal RNA (492 nucleotides) under uncultured bacterium. RNAcentral's name for it is "partial 16S ribosomal RNA". It matches the Rfam family "Bacterial small subunit ribosomal RNA", at positions 29 to 507 of the family's 1533-position model. The record is from RNAcentral.